Molecule: non-coding RNA, 73 nt
Organism: Diceros bicornis minor
Lineage: Eukaryota; Metazoa; Chordata; Mammalia; Perissodactyla; Rhinocerotidae
Source: the annotation of a RefSeq genome assembly
UAGAAUGUGGUGUAUUUUGGUAGCACGGAGAUUUUUGAGUUCUUAAGAGUAGGUUCAAUUCCUAUCGUUUUAG